AACUAAAAUAAGUGGUUUGUUCAAGGACCUGGGGUAGGUGGGGAAAAUGUCCUUGACUUGUUUUUAAUAUGACAAAAUUGAAACUUACCUUUCUGACUUUCUUCCGUUUCAUAUUGGUGCCUUAAUUUGUAGAAUUGUAGUUGCUGUUGCCUGAGAAUACAGCAACAUCAACGAAAAAAGGGCCUGUUGCCACCCCUUGAUGCUCCACACCAUUUGCGCAAACAUGAAUAGGGUCCUUAUCGAGAAGUUCUGCUUGAGAUGUUUGAUGAUUGCCUUUGGUGGACUGGCUGUGUUGGAAGAGAGUAUUGAAGAAGAUGAUAACUUAAAGUGAGAAGGAGUAUCAUGAUUCUACAUGUCAUUUGCUACCCACGUGACAAAGCCUACAUUGGUUAUGUUCGGCACAAUAUUUCAGGUUACUUAAGUUAAAUGGUAGAUAUCAAUAGCUACACAUGAAUUAAGGAUCAGCAGAAGAUGCAUUCUAGAGAGAAUAAUACAGAUAGAUGUGUCUACAGAGUUUAGAAAGCACACAUCAGAAGCUAUGAUGAAAGCACCAUGUAGAAGUGUAUUGAGGCACUGUCAUCUAAAGUGGCAAGCUCUUCAGAAUAUACAAAGUAUCUUGGAGAUAAGACAACUAGCCACCAACCGCAAGUCUUAUACAAACAAGGCAACUAGUAACAACAAAAUGAGACUCAAAGAUAUUUACAACGGUUUGCAAAAGGAGAAAUGUUAGAACUAAAGACAUUGGAUGAUGUCUGACCCCUAAAAUAUCUCAUUGUUUUCAUGAUAGCAAAUGUAUUAAAAUCUUGACGGAUUAAUGAAUUUCAUUGAUUUUUUUA
Molecule: long non-coding RNA, 836 nt
Organism: Glycine soja
Lineage: Eukaryota; Viridiplantae; Streptophyta; Magnoliopsida; Fabales; Fabaceae
Exons: 5
Source: RefSeq, a predicted model, not a curated record